RNAcentral lists this ribosomal RNA (492 nucleotides) under uncultured bacterium. Its description in RNAcentral is "bacterial SSU rRNA". It matches the Rfam family "Bacterial small subunit ribosomal RNA", at positions 43 to 524 of the family's 1533-position model. The record is from RNAcentral.
CAGGCCUAACACAUGCAAGUCGAACGGUAACAGGAAGCAGCUUGCUGCUUCGCUGACGAGUGGCGGACGGGUGAGUAAUGUCUGGGAAACUGCCUGAUGGAGGGGGAUAACUACUGGAAACGGUAGCUAAUACCGCAUAACGUCGCAAGACCAAAGAGGGGGACCUUCGGGCCUCUUGCCAUCGGAUGUGCCCAGAUGGGAUUAGCUAGUAGGUGGGGUAACGGCUCACCUAGGCGACGAUCCCUAGCUGGUCUGAGAGGAUGACCAGCCACACUGGAACUGAGACACGGUCCAGACUCCUACGGGAGGCAGCAGUGGGGAAUAUUGCACAAUGGGCGCAAGCCUGAUGCAGCCAUGCCGCGUGUAUGAAGAAGGCCUUCGGGUUGUAAAGUACUUUCAGCGGGGAGGAAGGUGUUGAGGUUAAUAACCUCAGCAAUUGACGUUACCCGCAGAAGAAGCACCGGCUAACUCCGUGCCAGCAGCCGCGGUAAU